GUACGGCCGCAAGGUUAAAACUCAAAUGAAUUGACGGGGGCCCGCACAAGCGGUGGAGCAUGUGGUUUAAUUCGAUGCAACGCGAAGAACCUUACCUGGUCUUGACAUCCACGGAAGUUUUCAGAGAUGAGAAUGUGCCUUCGGGAACCGUGAGACAGGUGCUGCAUGGCUGUCGUCAGCUCGUGUUGUGAAAUGUUGGGUUAAGUCCCGCAACGAGCGCAACCCUUAUCCUUUGUUGCCAGCGGUCCGGCCGGGAACUCAAAGGAGACUGCCAGUGAUAAACUGGAGGAAGGUGGGGAUGACGUCAAGUCAUCAUGGCCCUUACGACCAGGGCUACACACGUGCUACAAUGGCGCAUACAAAGAGAAGCGACCUCGCGAGAGCAAGCGGACCUCAUAAAGUGCGUCGUAGUCCGGAUUGGAGUCUGCAACUCGACUCCAUGAAGUCGGAAUCGCUAGUAAUCGUGGAUCAGAAUGCCACGGUGAAUACGUUCCCGGGCCUUGUACACACCGCCCGUCACACCA
RNAcentral lists this ribosomal RNA (524 nucleotides) under Escherichia coli. Its description in RNAcentral is "bacterial SSU rRNA". It matches the Rfam family "Bacterial small subunit ribosomal RNA", at positions 880 to 1404 of the family's 1533-position model. Lineage: Bacteria; Pseudomonadati; Pseudomonadota; Gammaproteobacteria; Enterobacterales; Enterobacteriaceae. The record is from RNAcentral.